Molecule: ribosomal RNA, 418 nt
Filed under: uncultured Tenacibaculum sp.
Lineage: Bacteria; Pseudomonadati; Bacteroidota; Flavobacteriia; Flavobacteriales; Flavobacteriaceae
Description: bacterial SSU rRNA
Rfam family: Bacterial small subunit ribosomal RNA
Source: RNAcentral
GUCAAUGGAGGCAACUCUGAACCAGCCAUGCCGCGUGCAGGAAGACUGCCCUAUGGGUUGUAAACUGCUUUUAUACAGGAAGAAACUUAGUUACGUGUAACUAACUGACGGUACUGUAAGAAUAAGCACCGGCUAACUCCGUGCCAGCAGCCGCGGUAAUACGGAGGGUGCAAGCGUUAUCCGGAAUCAUUGGGUUUAAAGGGUCCGCAGGCGGUCAAUUAAGUCAGAGGUGAAAUCCCAUAGCUUAACUAUGGAACUGCCUUUGAUACUGGUUGACUUGAGUUAUACGGAAGUAGAUAGAAUAAGUAGUGUAGCGGUGAAAUGCAUAGAUAUUACUUAGAAUACCGAUUGCGAAGGCAGUCUACUACGUAUAUACUGACGCUCAUGGACGAAAGCGUGGGGAGCGAACAGGAUUAGA